This 506-nucleotide ribosomal RNA is filed under the name uncultured bacterium. RNAcentral describes it as "bacterial SSU rRNA". It matches the Rfam family "Bacterial small subunit ribosomal RNA", at positions 526 to 1029 of the family's 1533-position model. The record is from RNAcentral.
CGGGGGGUGCAAGCGUUAAUCGUAAUCACUGGGCUUAAAGGGUGCGUAGGCGUUACGUUAGGUCUGUCGUGAAAUCCCCGGGCUCAACCUGGGAAUGGCGGUAGAAACCGGCGAACUAGAGUAUGGGAGAGGGUGGUGGAAUUCCAGGUGUAGCGGUGAAAUGCGUAGAGAUCUGGAGGAACAUCAGUGGCGAAGGCGGCCACCUGGCCCAAUACUGACGCUGAGGCACGAAAGCGUGGGGAGCAAAUAGGAUAAGAUACCCUGGUAGUCCACGCCCUAAACGAUGAAUACUAGAUGUUUGGUACCUAGCGUACUGAGUGUCGUAGCUAACGCGAUAAGUAUUCCGCCUGGGAAGUACGGCCGCAAGGUUAAAACUCAAAGGAAUUGACGCGGGCCCGCACAAGCGGUGGAGUAUGUGGUUUAAUUCGAUGCAACGCGAAGAACCUUACCUGGGCUUGACAUGUCCGGAAUCCUGCAGAGAUGCGGGAGUGCCCUUCGGGGAAUCG